Molecule: transfer RNA, 68 nt
Filed under: Ictidomys tridecemlineatus (thirteen-lined ground squirrel)
Lineage: Eukaryota; Metazoa; Chordata; Mammalia; Rodentia; Sciuridae
Description: Spermophilus tridecemlineatus (thirteen-lined ground squirrel) tRNA
Rfam family: tRNA
About the family: Transfer RNA (tRNA) molecules are approximately 80 nucleotides in length. Their secondary structure includes four short double-helical elements and three loops (D, anti-codon, and T loops).
Source: Rfam by way of RNAcentral
GGAGUUGUGGCUCAGUGGUAGAGCAUUUGCCUAGCAUGUAUGAGGCAAUGGUUCAAUUCUCAGCUCCA